CGUCCUACGGGGGGCAGCAGUGAGGAAUAUUGGUCAAUGGGCGAGAGCCUGAACCAGCCAAGUCGCGUGAAGGAUGACGGCCCUACGGGUUGUAAACUUCUUUUGUCAGGGAGCAAUUGGGUCCACGCGUGGGCUUAGCGAGAGUACCUGAAGAAAAAGCAUCGGCUAACUCCGUGCCAGCAGCCGCGGUAAUACGGAGGAUGCGAGCGUUAUCCGGAUUUAUUGGGUUUAAAGGGAGCGUAGGUGGAUUGUUAGGUCAGUUGUGAAAGUUUGCGGCUCAACCGUAAAAUUGCAGUUGAAACUGG
RNAcentral lists this ribosomal RNA (305 nucleotides) under uncultured bacterium. Its description in RNAcentral is "bacterial SSU rRNA". It matches the Rfam family "Bacterial small subunit ribosomal RNA", at positions 335 to 636 of the family's 1533-position model. The record is from RNAcentral.